AUACGGAGGGUGCAAGCGUUACGCGGAAUCACUGGGCGUAAAGCGCGCGCAGGCGGUCUUUUAAGUUGGAUGUGAAAGCCUACGGCUCAACCGUAGAACUGCAUCCAAAACUAUUAGACUAGAGUGUGGGAGAGGAAGAUGGAAUUAGUUGUGUAGGGGUAAAAUCCGUAGAGAUAACUAGGAAUACCAAAAGCGAAGGCAAUCUUCUGGAACACUACUGACGCUGAGGCGCGAAAGCGUGGGGAGCAAACAGGAUUAGAAACCCUAGUAGUCC
Molecule: ribosomal RNA, 274 nt
Filed under: uncultured bacterium
Lineage: Bacteria
Description: partial 16S ribosomal RNA
Rfam family: Bacterial small subunit ribosomal RNA
Source: RNAcentral